RNAcentral lists this ribosomal RNA (464 nucleotides) under Weissella paramesenteroides. RNAcentral's name for it is "bacterial SSU rRNA". It matches the Rfam family "Bacterial small subunit ribosomal RNA", at positions 962 to 1427 of the family's 1533-position model. The record is from RNAcentral. Lineage: Bacteria; Bacillati; Bacillota; Bacilli; Lactobacillales; Lactobacillaceae.
CGAAGAACCUUACCAGGUCUUGACAUCCCUUGCUAAUCCUAGAAAUAGGACGUUCCCUUCGGGGACAAGGUGACAGGUGGUGCAUGGUUGUCGUCAGCUCGUGUCGUGAGAUGUUGGGUUAAGUCCCGCAACGAGCGCAACCCUUAUUAUUAGUUGCCAGCAUUCAGUUGGGCACUCUAGUGAGACUGCCGGUGACAAACCGGAGGAAGGUGGGGAUGACGUCAAAUCAUCAUGCCCCUUAUGACCUGGGCUACACACGUGCUACAAUGGCAUAUACAACGAGUCGCCAACCCGCGAGGGUGCGCUAUUCUCUUAAAGUAUGUCUCAGUUCGGAUUGUAGGCUGCAACUCGCCUACAUGAAGUCGGAAUCGCUAGUAAUCGCGGAUCAGCACGCCGCGGUGAAUACGUUCCCGGGUCUUGUACACACCGCCCGUCACACCAUGAGAGUUUGUAACACCCAAAGC